Molecule: ribosomal RNA, 271 nt
Filed under: uncultured Pseudomonas sp.
Lineage: Bacteria; Pseudomonadati; Pseudomonadota; Gammaproteobacteria; Pseudomonadales; Pseudomonadaceae
Description: partial 16S ribosomal RNA
Rfam family: Bacterial small subunit ribosomal RNA
Source: RNAcentral
CCUAGUUACCAGCACGUUAUGUGGGCACUCUAAGGAGACUGCCGGUGACAAACCGGAGGAAGUGGGGAUGACGUCAAGUCAUCAUGGCCCUUACGGCCUGGGCUACACACGUGCUACAAUGGUCGGUACAAAGGGUUGCCAAGCCGCGAGGUGGAGCUAAUCCCAUAAAACCGAUCGUAGUCCGGAUCGCAGUCUGCAACUCGACUGCGUGAAGUCGGAAUCGCUAGUAAUCGUGAAUCAGAAUGUCACGGUGAAUACGUUCCCGGGCCUU